GUUAAGCAAAUAAAAGACAACAGAGAAUCUCCACGCAUUUUGAAAUGGUCUGAUUUAUUGUGUAAUUUUUAUAUUUUUUCUGCUUAAAACCCUUCAUUAGCUUCAUUGCUUGAUAAACUCCUAAGUAUGAUGUAGAAAUUCCUCUGUGAUCUGGGUUCUGCAUAUUUCUCUAGCCUCAUCGCUCACACCUCCUUUGCACAGACAGCUUUUUCCAGCUUUUCAAAUGUCUGGUGCUGGUUCUUAUGCUGGUGUUUGCAGCUUCCGUGUCUUCCUUCUAGUUCCUUGUUAGCUUCAUAAAUCUUUAACGGUCUUCUUAAACUAAGCUCAAAGUUCUUUUCUAUGAAUCAUUUCUGGGAGCUCAGGGUUGAUAUCAAUAUUCCCCUGUAUUUCUAUCAUCUAGCUCCAUGUUGGGUACAUAGUCUGUAUUCUGUAAAUGCUGAAUGAACAAAUAAAUGAAAACGGGUCUUCACAUCACAUCCAUUUUUCAUUUCAAAAACAUACAAUAUAGUACAUAGC
This 516-nucleotide long non-coding RNA is filed under the name Homo sapiens (human). Its description in RNAcentral is "non-protein coding lnc-CCDC171-3:1". Lineage: Eukaryota; Metazoa; Chordata; Mammalia; Primates; Hominidae. The record is from RNAcentral.